CUUGAAUCUUACCCGAUUGAUGUCCUCUCAUUUCAUGCAAGCACAUGUGGUGAAGGAAUGGACCCUGCUCAUCAUAGCGAUGCAGCCAGUAUGACAAGGACAGAGGAAAUGCCAGGACCUUCAGUUCAACGAUUGCCAGCAACAGUUUCAGCAGCAUGGGCCAAUGAAGUGGACCCCCGGAAGGCAUGUCAGUUGUUCAGAGAGGAACUGCUGGAACGUAACUAUGAAUGUCCACGCCUCUUUCUAUCAAUCGACAUGUUUGACGCAGAAGAAGAAACGGAC
Molecule: long non-coding RNA, 282 nt
Organism: Gymnodraco acuticeps
Lineage: Eukaryota; Metazoa; Chordata; Actinopteri; Perciformes; Bathydraconidae
Exons: 3
Source: RefSeq, a predicted model, not a curated record